GCGGAGGCCGCCCGGGCGGCAUCGGCGGUGGCGGUGGCGGAGGGCAGCGCGGCCGAAGCCGCCGCCGCAGCGGAGGCUGCAGGGACCCCCUUGGGGGAGGCGGAUGCGGAUGCGGAUGCGAAUGAGGGGGUGGCGGCCGCUGUGGCGUCUGCGGCGGCCGCCGCCGAUGCAGAUGCGGAUGCUGAGACCCGCGGGGGCUGUGAGGGGAACCCAGAUUUUCCGAUGGCCUCCCUGUACGUGGGCGACCUGCACCCUGAGGUGACCGAGGCAAUGCUGUACGAGAAAUUCAGUCCAGCUGGGCCCAUCCUCUCCAUCCGCAUCUGCAGGGACAAGAUCACCCGCCGCUCAUUGGGCUACGCAUAUGUCAACUACCAGCAACCGGUGGACGCCAAGCGGGCCCUGGAGACCCUGAACUUUGAUGUCAUAAAGGGCAGGCCAGUGCGCAUCAUGUGGUCCCAGAGGGACCCGUCGCUCCGCAAGAGCGGGGUGGGCAACGUCUUCAUCAAGAACCUGGGCAAGACCAUCGACAACAAGGCGCUGUACAACAUCUUCUCGGCGUUCGGCAACAUCCUUUCCUGCAAAGUGGCCUGUGACGAAAAGGGGCCCAAGGGCUACGGGUUCGUGCACUUCCAAAAGCAGGAAUCCGCGGAGCGGGCCAUCGACGUGAUGAAUGGCAUGUUCCUGAACUACCGCAAAAUUUUCGUCGGGAGAUUCAAGUCGCAUAAAGAACGAGAGGCCGAAAGGGGAGCCUGGGCCAGGCAGUCCACUAGUGCUGACGUCAAGGAUUUCGAGGAAGACACCGACGAGGAGGCCACCUUGCGAUGAAGACAUCCCAGGAGCUAGCCAGCCAGCAGAGCCAAACCUUGGUUCACACCCGGUUUACAACCCCCCACCCCCAGCCCUCCCCCGCCAACCCACCAGCAGUGUAUUUAUUGUAUUGGGAGUGCAGGUCUCUCUCUCUCUCCCCCUCUCUGCUCCCCCCUUCCUAUUUUCUCUCCCCACCUCUCCUCUCCUUCCCUUCCUCUCCCCCGCCCACCCCUACCAAGGGCGUUGUGAAUAAUCUUACUAAUCUGUGCCAUUUGUAGGUUAAAGGCUGCCUCUUCUCCCUGUGGUUUGGUUUAAAAAGCAUUUUCAUUCUCUCUUUGUUUACUGCACAGGUGAUACCAUUUCAUGGUAGAAACAUCAGAAAGGAGAAGGAUGUUAGAUGAGGGAAGAAACAAGAGAGUAAUUGCUCCCCUGGUCCUACUCCCCAGAGAGAACCACUUUUACCUUUUUGGCUUAUGAAACGUCAUCUUCAGUGCCUGCAGAGUGCUCCAGUGUAUCCGUGGACCUUAACAUUUCUGUAAUCAUUCCCACGUUGUUGGACAUUCAGGUGGUGCCUAGUUCUUUCCCUGUGUUUAAGACCAACAUUGCGUGCUCUGUGCUUUGAUGAGUGAAUCCUUCCUUGUCAAGCCAAAUCUUUGCCAGCAUCCCGGUGGGGUGGUCUCCUUAACUGUGGACUUGCAAGAUCCACAUAGAGACAUUUUAAAGACUUUUCCUGUGUGUUGCCAAAAGGCCCCCUUCAUAAGCAUUGUACCGAUUUGCACUCGUGCCGGCCAGCGCAGCUAGUAAAGAGUAUGCCCGUUUCCCCUGCAUAGUCUCCUGGUCACCGUAAUUGAUGGUACGUGUGUGUGCAUGUGUGCGUGUGUGCCUGUGUGUGUGCGUGCGUGUGUGUGUCUGUGUGUGUGUCUUGGCCAGCUUGUCGGGCUGCAAAGGGUAUUUCGCUGUCUUCGGUGGUUCUGCUGCAAUCCAACACUGUUUAAUACCCCCUUCCUCUGUGCCCACUUCCUGUCCUUUUCCCUUUUGUCAGAAAAGUAAUUCAGCGUCAUUGCUGGAAAAAAAAAAUAAUCACGAAGCAGACAAGUUAACAGAGAAAAAUUAAUGUCACCCGUAAUCGUUUCUGAUGAUUACUUAUACAUUCCUGAAACAUUUUCAUCUGUAUCUGCCCCAUAUUUUUAUGUGAUAUAUAUGUGAAAUUAUUGUAUAUACUGUUUCAAUAUCUGCUUUUUCACACAUAAAUAUAUAUUAUAGACAUAGAUUUAUAGAUAUUCUUGAACUUUCAUGUCAUUAAAUAUUCUUCUAAAAUAGUUUUCAUGGAUGUUUAGUGCUCUAAUGUGUGAUUGGGCUGGAUAGAGUGAUAGAUAUAUGUACAUAUUAGAUAUAGAUAUAGGGAUAUAUUUGUUUUAAGUAAUUGUUGGACAUCUGGGUUGUUUCAUUUUGUUUUCUUACACAAGCCAAAGCUGCCAACAGGAUCACAGUGCACAAACAUUACAUUCAUGUUUAUUUCCUGAACAGACGUUCAUAGUAUAAUUGAAGGAUGAAAAGAUUGGGAGGCUUAAAAUCUUUUUUUUUCCUUCUUUAGUAAGUGACCAUUGAUAAAGAUAGUACCAAUUUACCCUCAUAAACUACGCAGAUAUUGUGAGUGUACCUGGAUACCUUUACAGUUUUUGAGACUUGAUAUUAAAUUACUUAUAAUUUGAGAUUUUUUGUUUCUAUUUGUUUUAAACAUUCAUCUUUAUGCAGACAAUACAUUAUCAACUAAAAGCAUUUUUUAAAAUAUUCUAAAGAAAAAAUUGAAAAUCAUUCUUGAUUCUACCACUUGACGAAAAUAGAAAAAACUUUUGAAGCAUUUGAGACAUACAUGAAAAUAACUAAUACCUCCAAAAAUGUAAUAUAGGAUGUAUGUUUCAUUAUGGUAUAUUUUCAGCAUAAGAAAUUUUACUUACCAUCUUUCCAAAUUCUUUAAUAGUCUCCUAUAAUUUUAUUUUUACUUAGUGUUUCAUUUUACAGAUGAACUAUAAUUUCCAAAAUCCUGCCCUCAAUAUAUUUUUUUAAAUGGCUAUGACUUUUCCGUAACACAUUUGGAGCUGAAUGUUUGCUGACAUCAAGAAAUAUUUAAUUGCCUUAUAUACCUUGCUCUCUGCUGCCAAAUGCUUCUUCCACAAAGUUUAUGCCCUCCAACAGUGUAAGAGAAUGCAUAUUUCCUUUACCAUCUCCUUAAGUUAGUAUUUUUUUAAGUUAUGGGAAAUUAUUUAGGCUUGUAGUUUUAAAAAAUUAUUUCGUUUUACAAGUGCGUUACUUUAAAAAGACACACAUAUUAUAUAUGCACAAUAGCCACAUUAAAGAGAUUAUGCCUUUGCAGGCUUUGCCUUUUGUAAAUUUUAAAACCAUUAUAAAAUCAUACUGAAUAUAUUCUAUACUAAAUGUAUAUUCUGUGUUCAUAGUGAAAGUAUUCUGUCAAAAUUUUUAUUUAAGUAUAUUGUAAAUACAUCUAAAACAUCCUUUGCUACUAAAUAUUCUCCUGCAACUCACUGCCAUUGUAUAAGUGGAUCAGAAUUUUUUUUUAAGUGUUUCUUCACGUUGGGCUUUAAAAAGUAGUUUCUAAAUUUUUCCCAGAAACAUGAAUCUGUGGUAAAUAA
Molecule: non-coding RNA, 3458 nt
Organism: Macaca mulatta (Rhesus monkey)
Lineage: Eukaryota; Metazoa; Chordata; Mammalia; Primates; Cercopithecidae
Source: RefSeq, a predicted model, not a curated record